RNAcentral lists this ribosomal RNA (263 nucleotides) under uncultured bacterium. Its description in RNAcentral is "partial 16S ribosomal RNA". It matches the Rfam family "Bacterial small subunit ribosomal RNA", at positions 793 to 1055 of the family's 1533-position model. The record is from RNAcentral.
GUCCACGCCCUAAACGAUGUCUACUAGUUGUCGGGUUUUAAUUAACUUGGUAACGCAGCUAACGCGUGAAGUAGACCGCCUGGGGAGUACGGUCGCAAGAUUAAAACUCAAAGGAAUUGACGGGGACCCGCACAAGCGGUGGAUGAUGUGGAUUAAUUCGAUGCAACGCGAAAACCUUACCUACCCUUGACAUGGAUGGAAUCCCGGAGAGAUUUGGGAGUGCCCGAAAGGGAACCAUCACACAGGUGCUGCAUGGCUGUCGU